Molecule: transfer RNA, 73 nt
Filed under: Ictidomys tridecemlineatus (thirteen-lined ground squirrel)
Lineage: Eukaryota; Metazoa; Chordata; Mammalia; Rodentia; Sciuridae
Description: Spermophilus tridecemlineatus (thirteen-lined ground squirrel) tRNA
Rfam family: tRNA
About the family: Transfer RNA (tRNA) molecules are approximately 80 nucleotides in length. Their secondary structure includes four short double-helical elements and three loops (D, anti-codon, and T loops). Further hydrogen bonds mediate the characteristic L-shaped molecular structure. tRNAs have two regions of fundamental functional importance: the anti-codon, which is responsible for specific mRNA codon recognition, and the 3' end, to which the tRNAs corresponding amino acid is attached (by aminoacyl-tRNA synthetases). tRNAs cope with the degeneracy of the genetic code in two manners: having more than one tRNA (with a specific anti-codon) for a particular amino acid; and 'wobble' base-pairing, i.e. permitting non-standard base-pairing at the 3rd anti-codon position.
Source: Rfam by way of RNAcentral
GGGGAUAUAGCUCAGUUGGUAGAGUGAUUGCUUAGCACGCACAAGGCCCUGGGUUCAAUCCCCAGCACCAUCA